Transfer RNA from Geobacter sp., 73 nucleotides. It matches the Rfam family "tRNA". From Rfam's summary of the family: Transfer RNA (tRNA) molecules are approximately 80 nucleotides in length. Their secondary structure includes four short double-helical elements and three loops (D, anti-codon, and T loops). The record is from Rfam. NCBI's taxonomy places the organism in Bacteria, Pseudomonadati, Thermodesulfobacteriota, Desulfuromonadia, Geobacterales, Geobacteraceae.
GCCCAGGUAGCUCAGUCGGUAGAGCAGAGGACUGAAAAUCCUCGUGUCGGCGGUUCGAUUCCGUCCCUGGGCA